UAUGAUGGUCCCCUUACACUGAGCUUC
RNAcentral lists this non-coding RNA (27 nucleotides) under Rattus norvegicus (Norway rat). Lineage: Eukaryota; Metazoa; Chordata; Mammalia; Rodentia; Muridae. The record is from RNAcentral.